UACAGAGGGUGCAAGCGUUGCUCGGAAUCACUGGGCGUAAAGCGCACGUAGGCGGCUUUUUAAGUCAGGGGUGAAAUCCUGGAGCUCAACUCCAGAACUGCCUUUGAUACUGAGAAGCUUGAGUCCGGGAGAGGUGAGUGGAACUGCGAGUGUAGAGGUGAAAUUCGUAGAUAUUCGCAAGAACACCAGUGGCGAAGGCGGCUCACUGGCCUGGUACUGACGCUGAGGUGCGAAAGCGUGGGGAGCAAACAGG
RNAcentral lists this ribosomal RNA (253 nucleotides) under uncultured bacterium. RNAcentral's name for it is "partial 16S ribosomal RNA". It matches the Rfam family "Bacterial small subunit ribosomal RNA", at positions 524 to 776 of the family's 1533-position model. The record is from RNAcentral.